RNAcentral lists this ribosomal RNA (796 nucleotides) under uncultured Sphaerochaeta sp. Its description in RNAcentral is "bacterial SSU rRNA". It matches the Rfam family "Bacterial small subunit ribosomal RNA", at positions 8 to 795 of the family's 1533-position model. The record is from RNAcentral. Lineage: Bacteria; Pseudomonadati; Spirochaetota; Spirochaetia; Spirochaetales; Sphaerochaetaceae.
AGAGUUUGAUCAUGGCUCAGAACGAACGCUGGCGGCGCGUUUUAAGCAUGCAAGUCGAGCGGCAAGGGUCUUCGGGCCCCUAGAGCGGCGGACGAGUGAGUAACACGUGGACAAUCUGCCCCCCGGCCGGGGAUAGCCCAGGGAAACCUGGAUUAAUACCGGAUGAGACGGGACCCGCGGAGGCGGGAUCCGGGAAAGGCGCUGCGGCGCCGCCGGGGGAUGAGUCUGCGUCCCAUUAGCUUGACGGCGGGGUAACGGCCCACCGUGGCGACGAUGGGUAGCCGGCCUGAGAGGGUGUACGGCCACAUUGGAACUGAGACACGGUCCAGACUCCUACGGGAGGCAGCAGCUAAGAAUCUUCCGCAAUGGGCGAAAGCCUGACGGAGCGACGCCGCGUGAACGAAGAAGGCCGUGAGGUUGUAAAGUUCUUUUCGGGAGGGGGAACAACCGUGGCAGGGAAUGGCCGCGGGAUGACGUGAAUCCCGGAAUAAGCCCCGGCUACUACGUGCCAGCAGCCGCGGUAACACGUAGGGGGCGAGCGUUGUUCGGAAUUAUUGGGCGUAAAGGGCGUGCAGGCGGUCCUGCAAGUCCGGCGUGAAAGACCCCGGCCCAACCGGGGGGGCGCGCUGGAAACUGCAGGGCUUGAGUACAGGAGGGGAUGCCGGAAUUCCAGGUGUAGGGGUGAAAUCUGUAGAUAUCUGGAGGAACACCAAUGGCGAAGGCAGGCAUCUGGCCAUGUACUGACGCUGAGACGCGAAGGUGCGGGGAGCAAACAGGAUUAGAUACCCUGGUAGUC